GACGAACCGUGCGAACGUUGUUCGGAAUCACUGGGCUUAAAGGGCGCGUAGGCGGCUUCGCCAGUCCGGGGUGAAAGCUUUCGGCUUAACCGGAAAAGGGCCCUGGAUACUGCGAAGCUCGAGGGAGGUAGGGGCAGGCGGAACUUCCGGUGGAGCGGUGAAAUGCGUUGAGAUCGGAAGGAACGCCGGUGGCGAAAGCGGCCUGCUGGAUCUCUUCUGACGCUGAGGCGCGAAAGCCAGGGGAGCGAAC
This 250-nucleotide ribosomal RNA is filed under the name uncultured bacterium. RNAcentral's name for it is "partial 16S ribosomal RNA". It matches the Rfam family "Bacterial small subunit ribosomal RNA", at positions 524 to 773 of the family's 1533-position model. The record is from RNAcentral.